AAUGAGGUGCCUGAGUAAAGGAUUACCUUGAUAGGGUAAAUCAAGAAGGCCAACCCUUCUCUCAUUG
This 67-nucleotide transfer RNA is filed under the name Parafronurus youi. RNAcentral describes it as "tRNA-Ile". Lineage: Eukaryota; Metazoa; Arthropoda; Insecta; Ephemeroptera; Heptageniidae. The record is from RNAcentral.